GGGUAACCUGCCCAUAAGACUGGGAUAACUCCGGGAAACCGGGGCUAAUACCGGAUAACAUUUUGAACCGCAUGGUUCGAAAUUGAAAGGCGGCUUCGGCUGUCACUUAUGGAUGGACCCGCGUCGCAUUAGCUAGUUGGUGAGGUAACGGCUCACCAAGGCAACGAUGCGUAGCCGACCUGAGAGGGUGAUCGGCCACACUGGGACUGAGACACGGCCCAGACUCCUACGGGAGGCAGCAGUAGGGAAUCUUCCGCAAUGGACGAAAGUCUGACGGAGCAACGCCGCGUGAGUGAUGAAGGCUUUCGGGUCGUAAAACUCUGUUGUUAGGGAAGAACAAGUGCUAGUUGAAUAAGCUGGCACCUUGACGGUACCUAACCAGAAAGCCACGGCUAACUACGUGCCAGCAGCCGCGGUAAUACGUAGGUGGCAAGCGUUAUCCGGAAUUAUUGGGCGUAAAGCGCGCGCAGGUGGUUUCUUAAGUCUGAUGUGAAAGCCCACGGCUCAACCGUGGAGGGUCAUUGGAAACUGGGAGACUUGAGUGCAGAAGAGGAAAGUGGAAUUCCAUGUGUAGCGGUGAAAUGCGUAGAGAUAUGGAGGAACACCAGUGGCGAAGGCGACUUUCUGGUCUGUAACUGACACUGAGGCGCGAAAGCGUGGGGAGCAAACAGGA
This 673-nucleotide ribosomal RNA is filed under the name Bacillus cereus. Its description in RNAcentral is "bacterial SSU rRNA". It matches the Rfam family "Bacterial small subunit ribosomal RNA", at positions 119 to 777 of the family's 1533-position model. Lineage: Bacteria; Bacillati; Bacillota; Bacilli; Caryophanales; Bacillaceae. The record is from RNAcentral.